CCUUUAUAUUUUUAUUCAAGUUUGUGUUGCUUUAUAGAUACAGACAAUGAUUGCCUAUCAUUUAGGAAAGGAAAUGGCAGAGGACAAAUCUGUCUAAGGUUAUUCUAGAAGCACUUUACUAGUUUUCACUACAGCUUUAUAAUUAUGUUUUAAUUAUUUUUGAGCAACUUCUAUUAGAUUUUGUUUGUUUUUUUAAUAAUGAUUUUUAGUUUUCCAUUAUAGUUGGUUUAUAGUGUUCUGUCAAUUUUCUACUACUGUACAGCAAAGUGACCCAGUCACACAUACAUAUAUAUACAUACAUAUAUAUAUAUAUACACAUUCUUUUUCUCACAUUAUCAUGCUCCAUCACAAGUGACUAGAUAUAGUCCCAGUGCUACCCAGCAGGAUCUCACUGUUGAUCCAUUCCAACAAUUCAGGAAACGUUAGCGAGAUGUUCUAACAACUAAAUUAAUUAACUAAUAAAGGCAUACCUCCUUUUAUGCAACUGCCUUAUUUGUGUUAGUUUCCGCCUAGCUUUCUCUCCUAAUCUACGGAAAUGAGAGUAAUGGAGGUGAGACCAGAGAGGUGGGCAGACAGACACCGGAACAUUCGGGGCCAGGCAGGGGUCUCAGAGAAUUAGGGGUUUACCCUGAAGCCUCGGAGGAACCACCAAAGACUUGAACUCGGAACGAGCAGGCCCACAUGUGUGCUUUGGGGUCAUCACUCUCAUUGCAAAGUGGACACAGAUCAGUGUGGGUGAAACGGGGGCAAGGAGAUGCAUUUGAAGGCUGCUGUGCUCAUCCAGGUGAGAGGAGCUGGCUGUGAAAGAUGGUGGUGGAAGUCGGCUAGAGAUCACAGAAGCAACGCAUAUUCUUUCACCUCUCUUCCUAUUUCACAUGGGACUAAAUGCAAACUCACAUGUUCUAAUAAUAAGCACAUCAAACUCUUUUCAAAGUUCAAAAUACCAUCCUUAAAGCAACAAUGAGUUUUAAAGUAGAUAGCAGCCUUCUAGAAAGGAAAGGGGGAAGCGAAUUGGUGUUCUCUGCCUGGCAGUGGACAAGUGAAAGGCAGAGCAAGGCUGUGUCAUUUCCUCACUUCCUGGUACCCAUGGCUGACGUUAUCCAUUACGACUAUUUAGCCUAGCUUCUAAACUCUAGUUGUGUUCCUCAGUACUUAUUUUGACAAGCGAGUUCUUCCUGAAGCCCCAGAUGCAUUGCUGUUAUGUCAAACUUUACUUCUCCCCUGUAGCAAAGAAUUUGCUCUUUUGGCUGGCAGGAUGUUUCUCAUGAAUGAGCUGGAGAGAACUCUGGGAAAUUUCUCUGUCCCUGGGUGAGGGAUUCCUUAACUGUGAAUUAUUAAGGCCAUAGAGAUGCAUCCAAAAGUAGCAGGAAUCAGCUAGAAAAUAAUGAUCUUUGAAUUUCUACAUAUUUUGCUAUUAAGUGACAUUGACUGGAACCAUAGUCUUCUAGCCUUAGUCACUGAAAAAUGUGAAUAAAAUAUACACUCAUUUUACCCUCAGCUUUUCUUCUAAGUCUGGUUUUGGCAAACUACAACCCGAAAAUCAAAUCCAGCAAACCAAACCCUUUUGUAAUUAAAGUUUUAUUGGAACCCAGCCCCACCUAUUGUUUCUAUAUUGUCUCUGACAACUUUCACUUUCCAUCGUCUGAGCUGGAGUUGGGACAAAGACCUUACAGGUCACAAAGCCAAAAACAUUUACUAUGUGUUCCCUACAGAAAAAGUCUGUAGGACCCUGCUCUCAGCAAAGCUGAAAAACAGCACGUAAAAUAUCCUCUUUUCUAAACUUUCUUGAAAGGAUAAAAAUGAACAGUCACUAAAAUCACAGAAGAAAAAGAAUGGUUUAAAAACUCCCCCAAGCUAUACCUUCUAUCUCCUCAACACUCAGAGUAUAAAACUCACGCGCUGCCUGAGGGUGGAGCACCCUGGAAGCCACCGUAUGUGACAUCGGCAGAUGGAGAGGCUGCCACUUUUCUGAAAGGGAUCCCAGGGAGGUCGAUUAACCCGUUAGGAAAACCGUCUAAGGGAGAGUCGCCAGUCCCCAGAGACAGAUGCGGAUUUAAGAGGAUGGAGAUAUUAGAGGAUCCCAAGUGGAGACUCACACCCACCAUGAGGCAGAAUCCCUGGUGAACCCACACUUCCUCCUGCCCCCCUCCUGCCCUGCAGACAGGAGUUAACGUGACAGAGGACAGCACUGACUCUGCAGCAACUUUGCCUGUGCGACCAGAGGAGCCUUGCCGCUUUUAAUAGGAAAGCUUCGGUGCCACCCCUCGAGUGGAGGGAGACCUGCUGUAAUAAAUCAGGGCACGAGAUGGCAAAUCUUCCCUCACUUCCACCUCAAAAAGAACCAUCCAGCACUGUUUUAACUGCACCCCAGCACGAUCUCCUUGUGUGUUCCCUGGAGCACUUGUGGUAAUCCUUAUUUGUUUCACAGCUGGUGCAGAAUGAAAUCCAUCCCCGUCAAAUACCCUGCUCUAGGGCAGCUGCCCUCGCUCUUCAGUUUGCAUUGCCUGGCCAAGCUAGCGUGAAGCACACGGUAUUGAUUGGAAAGGCACUACCUAGAUAGACCCUUGAAGGGCAGUCAAAUGAUCACCUACCCUGUAUUUCCUUAUCUCCCCACGUAUAACAGCAAAUACAAUUGAUCAGUAAAUGUCGGAGCGUAGUUUGGGCAAUUAAUGAAUAAAACCUUCUUGGGGAACAUGGUCUACCCCGCCCCUCCCCCCACACACGAAGCAUCUGAGUUGUGAGCCCCUGUGUGACAGACAAAUCACAGCCCUUUCCCCACAGGCUGACUGCCUCUCCUCUUGCCUUGUUUUACAUAGACCCUGCUCUUCAUUUUCGCCUCUGACAGUAAAAACCCCAGGACAAGACUGUCACAAAAAGGAUUAUCUUUCAGAUCAAUGGUGAAAUCGAUUCCAAACUCCACUAUUUAUCAGCCUGCAGCAAAAGUGCAACUGGAUAGGAAAUAUGUCCUCUCUUUUGAAUGCUUGUUUGGUUCAUCUAGGCAACAAUUCACCUCCUUCUACACUGAUGCGGCAGCCUGACUUUUUACCCAUAGAUGCAUAAUCAUAAAGUACACCUCACCGGCCGAAAGCACUCUUUUCAAUAUCCUUUUAUAGGUGAUGCAGAGUCCUUCACGCUCAACUUAAUAUAUUUAUAGUACACAAGGUACAGGUUAUUUUUUUCAGUUAAACUUUCUAACUCUAAAAACGGAGGCUAAAGCAUACACUAAAUGGUAACAGGGCCAAGAGAAACAGCACAUUAGUUAACUUACUUCCACCCUACCUCUUGAUAGAUUUCUGUUCUCCCACAACUCCCCUCAAGUAAUUGUUUUACACCAAAACCCAAGGGAGAGUUUACUAAGAUUACCGACAACUUCACUGACCUACGUGUUAUGUUACCCAUAUAAUUCAAUAGCAAUGGAUUUUAUCAACAUCAACUGGCUUUCACAGGACCAGAAAAUGUAGGCUUUCAGUUCCUUGGUAUAAUUAAAUAAAUUAUUUAAAACUCCUACUCACCUUAGUAAUUCAAAACAUUUUCCUUAAAAAAAGUCUAGAUACUGAAGUGACCUGUAAAAUUGAUUUACAACAGGUUGAUGUAAUUUAUUAAAAAUAAAUUAUCGCAGCCAGAAGUUACCUUAAAGAAAUAUGGUAAAAAAAAAAAAAAAGUCUCUGGAGUUCCCUUCACGGCUCAGUGGUUGACAAAUCUGACUGGGAACCAUGAGGCUGCAGGUUCAAUCCCUGGCCUCGCUCAGUGGGUUGAGGAUCCGGCGUUGCCGUGAGCUGUGGUGUGGGUUGCAGACGCGGCUCGGAUCCCGUGUUGCUGUGGCUGUGGUGUAGGCCGGCGGCUGCAGCUCCAAUUGGACCCCCAGCCUGGGAGCCUCCAUGUGCCAUGGGAGCGGCCCUAGAAAAGGCAAAAAGACUAAAUAAAUAAAUAAAUAAAUAAAAAAGAAAAUGUCAAAAUGAUAUAUUCAUAUCACAGUGCCUUGUACAAACAUUCUGCAAUAUCUACUGUAGACACUUCAAGUUUCUUAAAGCAGAAAUAAAGAUUGACCAAGACUUGCCAAAGGCUUCUAAUUUAAGCAUUCCUAUUUAAGUCAAUUAUUUAGACUCUAAAAUGUAUUUUCUCAUAAAAACGAUUAUAUGCAGUGACAAAAAUUAUAUAUAACUGAAAUGCCACUGAAUUCAAAUGCACAGAUUCAAAGUUUAUUGUGAAUCUUAGAUUCCAAGGCCAUCCCAGCCAAGCCUUUUAUCCAAGACCAGAUGUGCAUUUAGAAAGAUUAAUUAGCUGACAAUGAAGAGAAUGUUCGGCAAAGAAUCAGAACACAUGUGGAUAAAACCAGCUGAUAGAUUAAUCUGUGUGUCAUCCAUCGCCUCUUAAUGAAGUAGGUCAGUCAAGAAAAGAUGGUUGAGGUUGUGAUGAUUGUUGUACAACUAUAAAUGCAAUAAAAUUCAUUGAGUAAUUUAAAUAAAUUCAAAAAAGAAAAAAGAAAAGAUGGUUGACUAGACCAGGCAUGGUUAUGUCAAAAUGGAGACUCAGAGAUGAAAGGUUAAACUGACUCUCCUGAUGAUAGAUUUGAUACUGAGAUAAGAGGAAAGUUGUAAGGAAGAUUGCCAGGUAAAUGGUUGACAGUUAAACCAUCUGAAACAGAAAUAAAUGCUGGAAGAGAACCCAGCUUGGAAAUGGCAGGGUGGGAGAGAGCCCUGAAUUUAACUGGGACACAUGGGGUUUGAAGUGUCUUUGAGACAUGUAACUAUCAAAGUCAUGAAAGCAAACGGUCUCGAGCACAGAGAAGCAGAAAUGUGGAGUAAAAAAUGCCCCCAAUCCCAAGACCUGGCCCUGGAGUGAGUUUUCUGGGAAGAUUACUGUUCGCAACAUGGCUGGGCUCCCAGGGAAAGAAGGACCUCAAAUGAGCACUGGGGCUGAGUAAGCCCAGGAGGAGAAGCUAGAACACAGGACACCCCGCUGGCCAUGCAGUGGCGUCUGAGUAGGAAAGAGGUCUACGACGUGGGCCAGGGGCGCAUCCAGCCCUUUGGGAAUGAAGGUCAGCGGGAUGUGCGUCAGCUGAACGGGGGCUGGGGGACUCAUCUCCACGGGGUUUCCUGGGAGUGGGUGGGUGAUGGCCCUGCCACCCGCCCAGUGCGGCUUCUCCCUGAGAGAACCAGAGCCGUGAUAACACAGCGCGGAAAGAGGCAACGUGGGUGGGAAAGUGGCAGCUUUGAAGCACUUUGCGCAGGGAACAGACACUAGUUCCACCCCCACCACCUCAGGGAAAAAGUUAAAUCUACAAGAGAUGUUAAGGCAAUCUAUUCAAACUCCUUUAGUUUGAUCAAACUUGGUCAUGAAUUUAGAAAAGGGCCAGAAUAGCCAACUUAAGCCAGAGUCCCAUGGUCCCCAGACCGCAAAUGUUUCUGCCAUCCCCCCUGUCCCCAGCUUGCCUUACACUGGUCACCUGAAGGCUUGAAGAACUAGCUCGUGAAAUAAGGGUCAUAAUAAUGAAGGAGGAAAAAUAAAAUAAAAUCAAUGCCUUGCGAAUAAUAACCAAUUUAUUCUUGUCUUUUUGAGGGAGGGGGGGCUGUACCCACGGCAUAUGGAGGUUCCCAGGCUAGGGGUAGAAUCAGAGCUGCAGCUGCUGGCCUGCACCACAGCCACAGCGACAUCAGAUCCGAGCCACAUCUGUGAUACACCACAGCUCACAGCAGCGCUGGACCCUUAACCCACUGAGAGGGGCCAGGGAUCGCAUCUGCGUCCUCAUGGAUACUAGUCGGGUUCGUCUCUGCUGAGCUAUGUCGGGAACUCCCAAACCUAUUUAUACUUCACAGCUACCAUGUGAGGUAGAUCCUGUUGUUGUUCCCGUUUAGUCACUGAGACAGAAAGGUUAUGUAAGUCACCCACAGUUACACAGCUGGCUAUUGGCAGAGGCAGGAUCUGAACCCAGGCAACUUGCUCCAGAAUCCAGGCUCUUAACUAUGACAAAGCAUGGUUCUUUCACAUGAAGGAUUCCAUUUGUUAAAAAAAAAAAAAAAAAAAAA
RNAcentral lists this long non-coding RNA (6026 nucleotides) under Sus scrofa (pig). RNAcentral describes it as "lncRNA (ENSSSCG00025034657.1)". The record is from RNAcentral. Lineage: Eukaryota; Metazoa; Chordata; Mammalia; Artiodactyla; Suidae.